RNAcentral lists this ribosomal RNA (458 nucleotides) under Triticum aestivum (bread wheat). RNAcentral describes it as "partial small subunit ribosomal RNA". The record is from RNAcentral. Lineage: Eukaryota; Viridiplantae; Streptophyta; Magnoliopsida; Poales; Poaceae.
AUCCCCUCUCUCCCAGAUCUCGUCGGCGCUGGAGCCACACAUCCCGUCCAUGGCCAGCGAAGGAAGGCUAGCGGAGGCCCCAUCGGUGGUGGAGCCAUGGAUCCCAUCGGGGUUGGGCUCGACCGCCCGUAGGAGCAAAACCGCCCCGACCCGCCUCGUUUCCGCGCCUGAGGAGCAGGGAGCAACCCCAAAGCCACCAUGUCACUGUCCAUGGAGGUCCAUCUCUCGAUCCGUUCACCGCCGUCGCGAGCUCUGUUCGAUCUGGCGCUGCAAUGUGUGAGGCAUGAACUACAGCGCCUGUGUCCCCGUUGACCCUCGUCCACGCUAACGCGGGCCAGCCUCCACCGACGCCUCCCUCUGGCCCAGAUCCACAGCGCCCCGAGGGAGGCACAGAUCUCUCGUCGGUGGCCAAUGUAUGCGGUAGCCGAGGACGCACGGUGGGGAGAGAUGGUUUGGAG